UGUAACAGUGGUUAUGACUUGAACAGCAGAGGGAAGGACGAGCUGGGUCUGGCUGGGGUGGUCAAGAGCUCAUUGCCCUGGGCACACACGGUUCAGCCCAGUCCCCUGCAUCCCCAAAGCCCCACAUCUGGCACCCAUCAGAUGGAGGAGCAGAAUUUGGACCCUGCCUGCACACUUCAGCAGGGGCAAAACCCCUGGGGUCCAGACAAAAAUUGGGCUGGAGUCCGGUGGUGCAGCGGGGAAGGCAGCGCCGGGGGACACACAGGGUUUGGGGACAGCACCUGGCACACCCCAGGCUGGGAAAAGCCUUGCAAAACUCGAGAUCUUCCAGCAGAUAAGUCUGGCAUCAGGCACUGGUCGCAGAACUCUUCUGCUCACUGCUGCUGCUUGACUUGGCCCUUGCUGUGCAAACGCAGGUGUUGGAGGGCAGCGCUGGGCACCCCUGUGCUGCCCACACCACUGCACCCAUGGGACGUCUCACCCAGGACCGGCACCUUCUCCGUGCCCAGCGGCCAGCUCAAGGGACACGGUCACGUACGUCCCGCUGCAGCGACGUGAUUUAUUGGUGCCUGUGGGAAGCGCUGAGGCCUCUCUGGUGUGAAAAACGCGCACAAAUGCACGGCAGGGAGAUGAUGUUUCCUCCCCGAAACGCAGGCACAGAGCUGGGGAUUUCACUGGAAAACAGGAACUUUGCCGGACAGCAGCUGCUCCGAGGCGGUGAAUCAGCUCGUCCCACUGACGCCCAGCAGAGCCGUGCCAGCACCAGCACCAGCACCAGCACCAUCACCAACACCAGCUCUCCCAUGCCCAACGCCCUGUGCGCUGGGGACCCCGAUGUGGCCACACGUGCCACCAGUCCGGCAGACGGCACACAGGGACCCAGCCAGCAGCUGCGACCACCGACCACCCGUGUGGCAGCAGCGAGGGGUCUGCGGCCGGUGCCCUGUCCCUGCUGCCUGCGCAGAGGUCAGCGGGCCACGACCAGGCACGGAUGGCUAAUGCCUUUUGUCCCAGCCUGACUUUUCCCCUCCCAGAGGGAUUAGGAUGGGAUGACCAGGCAAGGAGCCCCUAAUCCUAUUACUAGCCCUGUCGGGCAGCCCUGGGAAGCCACCAUGCCGCAAGGCACCAGGGCAGUGGGUGAGGGAGCAGCCUGUGAUGUCCUGAGCUGUUGCUACAAAACCAAGCACAGCUGCCGUUCCACUCAGCCCUUUCUCCACCAGUUUUCCCAAAAUCACUUUGCUCUGAACUUGGAGAGCUCUCGGUAUGGUGCCCCAGUUUGUCUGGGCAGCAGGAGAGACAUGGGCAACCCCGACCACUGCAUCCCCUGCCAGUGGGGCUCAGCCCCCCAUAGUCACGCACUCAGCAGCAUUUGGGGCAGGUGGUCCCAAGCCCUUUUGGCUCAUUUGGCUCAUUUGCCACAUUUCUCUGCAGGAUAGCAGCUGAGAGGGCAGCAAACCUUCUCCCGCCUGGAGAGCAAAUUGUUUUUCUCCCUCAACAGUUGCAAGAAGCUGUGUUUGUCUUUCUUUCCCUUCCUGUUUACUCGCUGCCAUCAGGACGGGCUUUGAUGUGCUUUUGCUGCUGGACAUUCACAGGAGCAUCAUCUCCCGGGUGCCCACAGCUCCCCGCUCGGUGCAGUGGAGACUGUGGCUCUCAACGCAGCUCCAACAUUGACGGGGCUGUGGCAGAGCCUGUGUGCCACAGGGGCACAGCCUGGCACCGUGCCAGAGCGGGAGGGAGCCAACACAGCAGUCCCCUUGGCAGCGCCGCGGCUGCCGCACAGCUCCUACGCUCCAAAGUCCAGGAGGCAGAGAGAGCCCUGCCCGGCCGUGCUUGGGGCAGAUGCCACCCCGGGGGAAACAGGCUCCUCUGGGAGCGGGGAGCUGGUGGUGGCACCAGGAUCCUGCUGGUCUGCAUCACCCCAUCCCCACAUCCCAGGGCAGGGGUGUCAGCACAUCCCUCCAGCUGCUGGCCAGGGGGGCACAGAUCCCCCCACACUCCUGGUUUCCUCCCGGCUGUGAGUCUCACUGCCCUGUGCAAGAGCCGCUGCACUUGAAAGGUCACCGGGCUUUGAUGUCGGUGGCUUGGGAUGGUAGGGGAGGGUUCACACCUUGCUGGCACUUCUGGUUCCCAGCGUGUCACCCAUGCGAGCCCUGUGCCUGCACCGCGGCGUGGGAACAGAGGGACUGUCCCUAUACGCGGAGAUGGAGAAAGCCACCUGGGCUAUCCAGGACCCCAAGGGGACACAGCCCAAGCAAGAGCCCCCGUCCCAUCAAAGGAGCAGCCCUUGCGAAGCAGGAGGGAUCCCUCCCCAUGGAGGGGACCCCACAGAGGGAUGAAGGAUCAUGGCAUCACAGGGUUUUUUUGUUAAUUUCUAUUUCAUCCCUAUUCUAAAGAAAAUAUGCAAUGAUUUUCCAGGAAAUAAAUCGCUCACGUGCAGCUGCCAGCGGACACAGGUUGAGAACGGGCUCUGAGGCUUCUCCAAACCGUUUGGCACCACUGCAAACCCACAACAGCACCCAAGCACAGCCACCACGGCACAGGGCAGGGGACCAGGAUGUGCUGGGCAUGACGGGGGUUUUCCUGGGGCUCCUGCGUGCACCCAAGCGUGGUUCAGGAGGGUCCUCCCAUGAUGGGACACUCUGGGAUAAAGCAGACGGCUCUGGGGAGGCAGCCAGUGCCCCGCAGCCUCUCCUCUCCCAGCGGAAACAGCAUCUUUUGGCCAAUUUCUCCUGGUUCUCGUCUUCGUGUGCCUGGCUUUGAUUCACGGCCGAGCCCUGUGAUAAUGUGGCUGCCUGGGAAGGAAGGGAGUAGAAGGAACUGGCUAUUAUGCUUGGCCCCUCUCCAGGAGGUGUUUUUGCUGGGAGGCACCAAGGUCAGAGCUGGGUGGGAAGCGUUCCCCAACAGCAGCCCUCACACAUGCCCCAGCCACGGCAGGGGGACACGGGAUCCCCCACACCGCCCUGGCAGCAGGGUUGCCUUCCUGGUGCCCAUAGCCCAAAACACCCUGCAUGGGCACAGAAGAUGCGUGGUUCCCCCAGCACAUGUUUUUGGGGGAGAAAGAACUGGUUUACAGCCACUCUGUGAAAUGGAACAUCUCCAAAUCUUCCUGUUUCCACAUGGAAGGAAAGAGGGGGCGGCGGGUGGGAGCAUCCACAAACGAAGCAAGCGGCAAGGGCUGCAGUGCGGGAAGCGCUUGUUCACCCUCUUUUUGUAAUUGCUUAAGAAUUUCAGCUGGCUUCAGCCUGGCGCAGAAGCUCCCAAGCCCUGAAUCCCAUUGCUGUGAGAACAGAGCUGGCACCAAAACACUCCUGAAACUACCUGCCGGCAUCGGUGUCAUCCCAGGACCCUGCAAACCAGCCCCUCCAGGCCAACGCAGCGAGAAGGGGCAUGCCUGGGUCUCCGGGGGCAACAUCUCCCAAAAAUCCUGCCCCAAAGCCUGCAAGGAGCGAGUGUCCAUGAGGCGUGAUGUGUUUUUCGAGCGCUUGCCCUGGGAGAGGCGAAUCCCAGCGGUGCGGAGCCGGGUGAAACCGCGGGGAUGCCAGCGCAGCUCAGACUCACUCGGCAUUGCGCAGCGGUCCAGAAAUCUGGUAUCAGGUUCAUGCCCAGGCUUGUGUGCAGAGAAUCGUGCUUGGGUUUUCACUACUGCGAGUGAUGGGUUUUGAUUAUUGAAUGUAAAUAUCAGAGGAGGCCUGAUCCUGGUCCCUCCGCACACUCUGGUGAGCAAUCUUUGCUGAGACGAUGGAAAGUCCCAUGUACCUCAGCAGGAAAAGGAGGAAUGAAAAAAAGCAAAGAAAUGGAUGGUUUUGAAAGAAGAUGCAUGUGAAACUCAGGGUGAAAACAUGUCCCACAUGGCACCAGGGCUGGGGGCAAGGCUGGGCUGGGGUCUGUGCUUCGAGAGAGCCGGGGUCACUGCCUGUGAGUGAGAGCUGUUGGGUGCAGAGCCACCCCCAGCCCCGAGCUGGGUGCCCACGGUGCUCCCGGGUGAGGGAAGGGACAGGGACACGCAGGGUUUGCAGCAACCAGGUGCAGGCAAAGGCAAGAACACAGAGUGGACAAAGACACGCACUGAGGGACCAAGGGGACCCGCACCCCGAGCCAGCCUGCGGGGAAGGGACGGGCUCAGUGCCAGGUACAUCGUCACCCGCAGCCCCAUAAACCCCAUCGGCCUCUGUUUACACAACAGAGAAUGUUUCGGUUGUUUUAUGGGGGUGGAUAAGAGCAGCGCAGGGGCCGGCAGUGCCGGGGCAGGGCCAAGAGACGCCUGCCCAACACCUGCUCUCCCUUCGCAGCCCAUAAAGGCAUUUUAUUUUAAACGUGACACAGAUUUUAUAGCGCAAUAGCGCAGCAGCACCUUUCACCCAGGUACAAUCAGUGCGGGGAAAUACGCUCCUCCGGGACGUCUCCCUGCCCGUCGCUAAUCCCAUGGGUGAGAGUUACUAAACUGACUUUACACACCAAGAAAUGAUGGCCAGAAGCCACCCUGCAAUUAAAACCAGUUUCAGCAGCCCGCGAGGAGGAAAACCUGGCGGGUGCCAAGCGCGGGCGCAGCAGCCGUGCUGGGGCAGGGACACGUGUGGCACCGAUGGCAGCGAGAGCUGGCUGUCCCCUCUGUCCCCUGUCCUGUCCCCAUCCCAGACACCCUGGUGGGACCGAUCCCCACAGCGCUGCCAGAAGGAAAAUCAUCCUCCAUGGGCACGUGCUGCCGGCGGGACAGCACAAUCGGUGUGAUUUAUCCCGUGGCCGUGCACUCACAAUCCUCCACUCAGCUAUUUAAGAAAAAAAAAUACAUCAGGAUUUAGACCAUUCUUUCAAAUCCAGCCUCAUUUUUCUGGUGCCCUGGGGAAUCACAGCUUAAUCCCAUUAUGGGGCAGCUUGGGCUGGGAUAGUUUUACAUCGCAGACUCCAUGACCGGCUGCGUUUUUAUCUGCUCAGACUUUCCAGGAUGCUCUACCCACUUUGAUUCACGCUUAAUUACUAAGAAUUGCUGUUUUAGAGAGCGUGAGCGAGGGUGCGGGUACGUGUACCAGCACUAACCCUGCGUGCCGAUCCGAAACCCAGCCGGAGGAGGAAUGCCAAACCGAGCACAGCGGGGAGAGCAGGAGAGAUCCAGUUUGAUGUCUGCCUUAUCGGUCCUAUUUUUAUUGCACUAAAUAUAUAAGAGCAAAAUAUCGAUUGUGAUGAUAAAGAGAUGAAAGUGUCAAGAAGGAAUCGGCACACUAGUUAUUCAGGCGAUUGGAAGCCGCGUUGGUUGUAUUUAACAGGCAUUUGCCAUUAAGAAAAAAAACGCCUGUUUUUAUUUAAAUAGCCUAGGGCAAAUUUCUCACUAAACCAACUUUCCCACGCCAGCCCAGUGCUCUAACUCUGGUUUUUGGCAAAUUUUUUCCUGAGCUGUCAAGGCAAAAUAUAUAUAAGAAUGCUGGUCUCACUUAGGUUUUUUUUUCCAGCCCCUGGAGACAUGAAAAUAAUUUACAGAUGUGCAUUACCUGUUUAUAUUUGUAUUAAGUUUUGCUUAACAGACAUAAUUUUCUUAGCUUGCAGUAACAAAAAAAUAUUCCCAGAGUUUCACUCAUUUAAUUUUAACUUAUUAAAACUUUUAAACAUGUGUGGAGGUUUUAUGUUUUUAAAUCACUAAUCACAUGGACAGUUGCCAAGGUUUCUAUUAAAGCCUUUUACAAAUGCUAUUUUUAAAAGUACCUAAAAUCCCAUUAUUUUUAACCCCCGAA
Long non-coding RNA from Columba livia (rock pigeon), 5723 nucleotides. RefSeq lists it as uncharacterized. Lineage: Eukaryota; Metazoa; Chordata; Aves; Columbiformes; Columbidae. The record is from RefSeq and is a predicted model, not a curated record. The transcript has 3 exons.